GAUGAAGAACGUAGCGAAAUGCGAUAAGUAGUGUGAAUUGCAGAAUUCAGUGAAUCAUCGAAUCUUUGAACGCACAUUGCGCCCCAUGGUAUUCCGUGGGGCAUGCCUGUUCGAGCGUCAUUUACCCCCUCAAGCUCCGCUUGGUGUUGGGUGUUUGUUCCGCCUCUGUGUGUGAACUCGCCUCAAAACAAUUGGCAGCCGGCGUACUUGUUUCGGAGCGCAGCACAUUUUGCGAUCCAGAUCAACGUACAGCGGCAUCCAAGAAGCCUUAUUUAACGCUCUUGACCUCGGAUCAGGUAGGGAUACCCGCUGAACUUAAGCAUAUCAAUAAGCGGAGGA
RNAcentral lists this unclassified non-coding RNA (339 nucleotides) under soil metagenome. RNAcentral describes it as "partial contains 5.8S ribosomal RNA, internal transcribed spacer 2, and large subunit ribosomal RNA". The stretch from base 1 to 120 matches the Rfam family "5.8S ribosomal RNA", at positions 35 to 154 of the family's 154-position model. The record is from RNAcentral.